ACGCGAAAGCCCCCUUCGGGGGGCAAGUAGAGUGGCGCACGGGUGAGUAACACGUAGGUAAUCUACCUUUGGAUGGGGAAUAACCACCGGAAACGGUGGCUAAUACCGCAUAAUGCAGCGGCACCUAAUGGUGACAGUUGUUAAAGCGGGGGAUCGCAAGACCUCGCGUCUGAAGAGGAGCCUGCGGCAGAUUAGUUAGUUGGUAAGGUAACGGCUUACCAAGGCGAUGAUCUGUAGCCGGCCUGAGAGGGCGGUCGGCCACACUGACACUGACAUACGGGUCAGACUCCUACGGGAGGCAGCAGUCGGGAAUUUUGGGCAAUGGGCGAAAGCCUGACCCAGCAACGCCGCGUGAAGGAUGAAAUCCCUCGGGAUGUAAACUUCGCAAGAACGGGAAGAAUAAGUAAGGGUUAAUAUCUCUUACGAUGACGGUACCGUUUGUAAGCUCCGGCUAACUCCGUGCCAGCAGCCGCGGUAAUACGGGGGGAGCAAGCGUUG
This 498-nucleotide ribosomal RNA is filed under the name uncultured bacterium. RNAcentral's name for it is "bacterial SSU rRNA". It matches the Rfam family "Bacterial small subunit ribosomal RNA", at positions 66 to 543 of the family's 1533-position model. The record is from RNAcentral.